Molecule: non-coding RNA, 169 nt
Filed under: Chloropicon mariensis
Lineage: Eukaryota; Viridiplantae; Chlorophyta; Chloropicophyceae; Chloropicales; Chloropicaceae
Source: RNAcentral
UGAUUCUGAGCAGCAGCCAAUACAGAUAACGCAGGAAGAGACAGAAGUCGAGGAGCAGGAACCGAUCAAUUUGACGCAACUGACACAAGAAACCUCAGCAUAUAGCGCUGGAAUAAAGAACACGCAGGACAGCCUCGGAACUGAGGUCACCGGCCGCAGGCGCGACAAG